CAAAAUCGUAUCUGAUAGGUUAAAAAAAAAGGUGCAGGACCUGGAAGAUACUUAACAGUGGGCAGAACUGCAGACAAACAUCCAGGAGUUAAGCAGGCAGUCAGUCCAGAAGGCAGCUGAGAAGCACACUCAGGACCAAUUGCUGAAUAUUACUGAAAAUGUAAUACCAUUCAUACCCACCAGUGGGAGGUAGACAUCUUCAAAUGCUGCUUCAGUGGGCAUAAACAUCUGCAUCUGUGAGCUAACUCAUCAAGGUCAUGGACAGAGGAACUGCAGGGACAGUAGGGUCAUCUUUGUGUCUUGUAAUUGUUUUGUUACAUCUCAGGGUUCUUUUAAUCACUGAAAUACAACAGAAAUGAAAAAGCUUUUCUUGCAGUUGUUAAUGUUAAUCAUCAGCGCAUUAUUCUGGAUUAAAUAAUCAGAUUCCAAAAAAUCCUAUGGUGUCAUACAUUUAGCUUUGAAUAUGCCAUUUGCUUUUUUCUUUAAAUUUUUAAGGGGAAAAGCACCUCUCAAGCAAUUAGAUUUGUUUUAACUGUAUUGUUUAAUCUAAUGCAGAGAUUAACAAUUGU
Long non-coding RNA from Puntigrus tetrazona (Sumatra barb), 569 nucleotides. RefSeq lists it as uncharacterized. The record is from RefSeq and is a predicted model, not a curated record. Lineage: Eukaryota; Metazoa; Chordata; Actinopteri; Cypriniformes; Cyprinidae. The transcript has 3 exons.